Molecule: ribosomal RNA, 494 nt
Filed under: uncultured bacterium
Lineage: Bacteria
Description: partial 16S ribosomal RNA
Rfam family: Bacterial small subunit ribosomal RNA
Source: RNAcentral
GAUGAACGCUAGCGGCAGGCUUAACACAUGCAAGUCGAGGGGUAUAGUUCUUCGGAACUAGAGACCGGCGCACGGGUGCGUAACGCGUAUGCAAUCUACCUUUUACAGGGGAAUAGCCCAGAGAAAUUUGGAUUAAUGCCCCUUAGUAUAGUUUAUUCGCAUGAGUAGACUAUUAAAGUUCCAACGGUAAAAGAUGAGCAUGCGUCCCAUUAGCUAGAUGGUAAGGUAACGGCUUACCAUGGCGACGAUGGGUAGGGGUCCUGAGAGGGAGUGCCCCCCCACCGGUGCUGAGACACGGACCGGACUCCUACGGGAGGCAGCAGUGAGGAAUAUUGGGCAAUGGACGCAAGUCUGAACCAGCCAUGCCGCGUGCAGGAGGACGGUCCUAGGGAUUGUAAACUGCUUUUGUACGAGAAGAAACACUGCUACGUGUAGCAGCUUGACGGUAUCGUAAGAAUAAGGAUCGGCUAACUCCGUGCCAGCCGCCGCCGUAA